CUAGUGGGGUCUUUAUUAUUUGGAAAAACAAAAAUGAUCUGGGGCUCUCUCCAUUCUCACCCCAAAUUUUGGAGUAGGUAAUGGCUGUCUACCACCUGGUCCAACAUAUGCCCCCAAACUAAAACAAACACACUCAUUUGCCAUACAAAUUGUUUACGAUUCAUUAAAAAGCAAAAUUGCAUAUCCCUGUGCUGGCCGCUGAGGCCGAGCCUCCACGGCGGAGGGGGCAUUCACUGAGUUGCCUUUGUAUGCUGGGAGGACCAAGCCGCUUCCCACUCUGCAGCCCGGAGGAGCCUGUGUAGCCAGAUGACGCAUGAGACAGACGCUUCCUUGUACAGCUGUUCCUGGGGACUGAGCAGUUUGAAGUUUCCAAAGAUGAAAACAUAUUGAAACAUCCAUCUUCUCUGUGGUAUUCAGUGAAGGCCACCCUUACAACUUAAAGGACAAGAGGUUAUUGUGAAGACCAUGUGAGUACAUGCAUAAGGAAGGACCGUGAAUAUACAAUAUGGUUUAAGUGCAUCGGUUACUAUGUUCCUACCACAAUCCUUUAGGAGCAGCCAUCGGAAGCCACCUGUUUUACAGGUUGAGGAAACUGAGGUCCAGAAAUUGACUCAGGAAGAGAAGAGGGGUGGAAUAUAUUGCAGUCACCCUCAGAGAGCCCCCAACAACCACCUUUCACUUAAUUUGGCAAUAUUCUAUUGGACAAGUCAAGUGAUACCCACAAUGCAAGAAGCUGCCCCCUGACUCCCUGAUGUUGACAUCCGUCAUGGCACCAUAUAGAUAUCCUUCAUGCAUUGUCUUC
This is a long non-coding RNA of Phacochoerus africanus (Common warthog), 802 nucleotides long. RefSeq lists it as uncharacterized. The record is from RefSeq and is a predicted model, not a curated record. NCBI's taxonomy places the organism in Eukaryota, Metazoa, Chordata, Mammalia, Artiodactyla, Suidae. The transcript is spliced from 6 exons.